CCGCCCGUAGCUCAGCUGGUAGAGCAGCUCCCUUUUAAGGAGAGGGUCGCAGGUUCGAUUCCUGCCGGGCGGA
This 73-nucleotide transfer RNA is filed under the name Minisyncoccota bacterium. RNAcentral's name for it is "tRNA-Lys". It matches the Rfam family "tRNA". From Rfam's summary of the family: Transfer RNA (tRNA) molecules are approximately 80 nucleotides in length. Their secondary structure includes four short double-helical elements and three loops (D, anti-codon, and T loops). The record is from RNAcentral. Lineage: Bacteria; Bacillati; Minisyncoccota.